CCUACGGGUGGCAGCAGUAGGGAAUAUUGCACAAUGGGGGAAACCCUGAUGCAGCGACGCCGCGUGGAUGAAGAAGUUUUUCGGAAUGUAAAGCUCUAUUAGUAGAGAAGAUAAUGACGGUACCUGACUAAUAAGCCCCGGCUAACUCCGUGCCAGCAGCCGCGGUAAUACGGAGGGGGCAAGCGUUAGCCGGAUUCACUGGGUGUAAAGGGCGCGUAGGCGGGAAAGUAAGUCAGAAGUGAAAUCCUAUGGCUUAACUAUAGGACUGCAUUUGAAACUGUUAAGCUAGAGUACGGGAGAGGUAGGUGGAAUUCUUGGUGUAGCGGUAAAAUCCGUAGAGAUUAAGAGGAACACCAGUUGCGAAGGCGACUUACUGGAACAUAAAUGACGCUGAGGCUCGAAAGCGUGGGGAGCAAACAGGAUUAGAUACCCGAGUAGUC
RNAcentral lists this ribosomal RNA (440 nucleotides) under uncultured bacterium. RNAcentral's name for it is "partial 16S ribosomal RNA". It matches the Rfam family "Bacterial small subunit ribosomal RNA", at positions 338 to 795 of the family's 1533-position model. The record is from RNAcentral.